GACGAACGCUGGCGGCGUGCUUAACACAUGCAAGUCGAACGGAAAGGCCCUGCUUUUGUGGGGUGCUCGAGUGGCGAACGGGUGAGUAACACGUGAGUAACCUGCCCUUGACUUUGGGAUAACUUCAGGAAACUGGGGCUAAUACCGGAUAGGAGCUCCUGCUGCAUGGUGGGGGUUGGAAAGUUUCGGCGGUUGGGGAUGGACUCGCGGCUUAUCAGCUUGUUGGUGGGGUAGUGGCUUACCAAGGCUUUGACGGGUAGCCGGCCUGAGAGGGUGACCGGCCAAAUUGGGACUGAGAUACGGCCCAGACUCCUACGGGAGGCAGCAGUGGGGAAUAUUGCACAAUGGGCGGAAGCCUGAUGAAGCAACGCCGCGUGCGGGAUGACGGCCUUCGGGUUGUAAACCGCUUUCGCCUGUGAGGAAGCGUGAGUGACGGUAAUGGGUAAAGAAGCACCGGCUAACUACGU
Molecule: ribosomal RNA, 467 nt
Filed under: uncultured bacterium
Lineage: Bacteria
Description: partial 16S ribosomal RNA
Rfam family: Bacterial small subunit ribosomal RNA
Source: RNAcentral